Molecule: ribosomal RNA, 252 nt
Filed under: uncultured bacterium
Lineage: Bacteria
Description: partial 16S ribosomal RNA
Rfam family: Bacterial small subunit ribosomal RNA
Source: RNAcentral
UACGGAGGGUGCAAGCGUUAUCCGGAUUUACUGGGUUAAAGGGUGCGUAGGUGGGUCUGUAAGUCAGUGGUGAAAUCUCCGAGCUUAACUCGGAAACUGCCAUUGAUACUAUAGGUCUUGAAUUAUCUGGAGGUAAGCGGAAUAUGUCAUGUAGCGGUGAAAUGCUUAGAUAUGACAUAGAACACCAAUUGCGAAGGCAGCUUACUACGGAUAUAUUGACACUGAGGCACGAAAGCGUGGGGAUCAAACAGG